UUCCCAAACUCUCCUCCUCUCAUCUUCCUCUAUUUCUUUGAAUUAGAAACCCUAGUGGUUUCUGCGUUCUCUCGAACCUACUCGCUUUCUCAGCUCUCACUCUCUUCACUCUGUCAUAGAUCUGAAACCUAACGCUCUUAGAAUUUUAUCCACCGAUCCAAACUUGCAGUGGACCCUAGAUAUGUUAAAGCCUCCAAUCUUGAACCCUCCUUUAUGUUAUAUUCUCACCCUACAAAGCACCGAGAGGAUCAUGGCUCAUGUUUCAUGGCUCCCAUCAUGAAGCAGAAGACUAUGGUAGGAAAACAAAGCUUGAAGAGCCUAUGGUCAAGUGAGGGAUCCAGGAGGGGGUGAAAUUCGAGACUCGUUCGGGGUAGCCGAAGACGAAAUCGAAAGCUGAGUUCCCUAUUCUUUCUCUAUCUUAUCAUACUUACUAUUCAUUUUAUUAUUAUUAUUAUUAUUAUUAUUAUUAUUAUUAUUUUUUACUUCUUUGUGUGUGAGGGUGAUACUGAUCUGCUUUGUGAUGAUUGUUGUGAUCCCAAUUUGUGUUGGCUUUGGUCCUGGGAUUGGGAGAGGUAGGGUUCGGUCUCAAGUCUUAGGUUGAAGAUGGAUAUGAGCCAACGCGUGUCGAAUAUAGGGGAGGUGAGCAAUGGGUUGACCCGUGCGAGUCAACCGAGUGAAUUAAGGGAACUCAGAUAGGCCUGGGUGAGUGGGUUGGCACAUGUCUGAGACAUGUGUGGGCUCUGAGAUUUGGGCUUGAGUGAAGGCUUAGUUAGAAUAGGUUAAGAGGUUUUUAUGGGCUUGAAGGUUAUUUUUAAAAAAUGGGCCGAGGUAUUUUAUUUGGCUAAAUGGGCUUGGGGCUUAUUUUGAAAACAGGCUGGGGUAUUUGUUUGGCUAAAUAGGCUUGGGGGUUAUUUUGAAAAUAGGCCGGGGUAAUUUCUGAAAAUGGGCUUAUUUUUAAAAGAAGAUUGGGCUUUCAGCCGGCUUUAAAACAAGGCUUGGACCUCGUGGGUUAAGUGUUUGAAAACAGGCUUAAGGUUCAGUGCUACCAACACGGGCUAUGGGUUUAUCUCUAAAAUGGGCUUUAGGCUCUAAUUUCAGAAUGGGGCCUCGGGUUUGGAUCAGGGCUCAGGUCUGCGGGUUUGGAUCAAAGGAUCCAAAUCUCAGGCAAAUUCAAAAUGUUAUUUAAUUUCGAGUUCUAAUCUAAAGCUUAAAGGCAAACACCUACAAUCACACACACACACAAGCCGAAUUUGAGUAGAGUUAAACUUAGCCAGAAGUUACCUCUUCUCUUCCCUCCUCCUUUCUUCUUGUCCCAAGCUCCUGGGGGAUCUGCCUAGGAUAUUUGGGAGUUUUGGUUCUGCUUCUGAGUCUCUCGAUGCUACAGGUAAUCCUAAGGGUCCAUGUGGUAGAUGAGGAAUGGAGGGCUUUUGGGAGGUUUCCAGAUGGCAGCACCGGGAUGGAGGGCAAUGGAAUCUUCUUGUUGUAUAUGGAUUAUUAUUUUGCAUUUAUUUUUUUAUUUCUUUUUGGCUAAUGCAAUCUGUAUGCACCUGGGAAUUCUCUCCUGCAACAAUUCUUUGUGUAAAACUUUAUUUUCAUUUCCCUGUAUUUUUUGUAUUUUGUAUUUUUUUUCUGCAUGCCUAUGUAUGUACCAUCCUAAUGCAUGACUUCACUCGUACAUGCACCUCCCCCUUUUGAUUAAUAAGAUUGUGACACAUGCACUUCAA
This is a long non-coding RNA of Malania oleifera, 1724 nucleotides long. RefSeq lists it as uncharacterized. The transcript has 2 exons. The record is from RefSeq and is a predicted model, not a curated record. NCBI's taxonomy places the organism in Eukaryota, Viridiplantae, Streptophyta, Magnoliopsida, Santalales, Ximeniaceae.